CAGUCGCCGCGGGAAUACGUAGGGUCCAAGCGUUAAUCGGAAUUACUGGGCGUAAAGCGUGCGCAGGCGGUUGUGCAAGACCGAUGUGAAAUCCCCGGGCUUAACCUGGGAAUUGCAUUGGUGACUGCACGGCUAGAGUGUGUCAGAGGGGGGUAGAAUUCCACGUGUAGCAGUGAAAUGCGUAGAGAUGUGGAGGAAUACCGAUGGCGAAGGCAGCCCCCUGGGAUAACACUGACGCUCAUGCACGAAAGCGUGGGGAGCAAACAGGAUUAGAUACCCCAGUAGUCCCUGUCUCUUAUAC
RNAcentral lists this ribosomal RNA (301 nucleotides) under uncultured bacterium. RNAcentral's name for it is "partial 16S ribosomal RNA". It matches the Rfam family "Bacterial small subunit ribosomal RNA", at positions 509 to 807 of the family's 1533-position model. The record is from RNAcentral.